This is a long non-coding RNA of Anas platyrhynchos (mallard), 3273 nucleotides long. RefSeq lists it as uncharacterized. The record is from RefSeq and is a predicted model, not a curated record. NCBI's taxonomy places the organism in Eukaryota, Metazoa, Chordata, Aves, Anseriformes, Anatidae.
GGCCCCCUGGGGGUAACGGUGCCCAGCUUGCCCUUGUGCAGCCCCAUCAUUAGCAACCUCCUGUGCUUUGAGCAGUAAUGUGGAAACAGAAAGCUAUUCCAAGAGAAUAGCUUUCUGACCAGAAAUAUUAAAUGGCACAAACAGCCAUUCAGAAAUCCACUUUAUUUUCUUUCUUUUUUUUUUUUUUUUUUUGUUAUGUUUAGUUACAUGAGUCAUCUGAUCAGAGAAGAGAAACAAGCAACUGGAGCUGAGCAGCAGCCAAGUGGGGCUGCGAAACGAGGCCGUGCGACGGGUGCAGCCGAACUGCGUGCAUGUGGAGCACUUGCAAAAAGCUGUCAGGAACGAUCUGCAGCUGAGGUUUAUUUAUCGCAGAUCCACAUCAGCCCUGCCAAGCAACAACCGAAUGUGCUAACAGAACGGAGAGGCCAUUCAUUAGCUGGGUGAUUAGUAAUGAAAUAAUUCUCCCGCUCUGCGCUGGUAGCUACUGGCCCAGCAACCGUGGCCAUCCUCCAGGAGGACUGCUGUCAUCAGAGAGGCUCCUGGUGGAAACCUGGCCAUCCCGUUGCUCAUGGAAGCAGCCGGCCCGUUUCACUGGGUCUGGAGGCCCCAGGUGACAACAGGGCUUAGGAGAACACACCCGACCGUGGCCUUUGGUGGCCACUCACCCACAGUGCUGCUAAACCACGUAGCAGCCUGCAGAGAAAUGUCACCACACUGGGGCCGCCCGCACCAACCAUGCUGAGGCCAGCACGGUGACAGUGUCACUGCUUCUGGUGCUUCACACCAGAGCCGAGCCCAAACCAGGAAACCAAUGUGACUUUUUGUCAGCCCUAGGCUGGGGCCCAAUAUGGCCCCUCCGCUCCCCCCAGUGCAGGGAACAGGCGCAGGGGUUAUGGCAAGCUGCUGAGCCCGUCGGUGCUAGCACUGCUGCAGCCACCCACAGCCCCUGGGGCUACCCCAGGCAGCUGGGUAGAGUUUUCUUUUCAUGCCCCCAGCUGCUCAUCCAAGCCUCUUUCCAGCCCAGGAACCACUGCACCUGAGUUCCCAGGGGAUGUGGGCGAGCAGCACAGCUGCCAGAAGAUGCACAAAGCCCUGAAGCCGAGCCCUCUGCAAAGCUCGUCCUAAGCCCAGGGAGAGGGGGCUCUGCACGAUGGCUCUCACCUCGUGCCUCGCAGAAGUCCCCAGCACUCCCAGCCCCUUGGGAAGCUAAGGAGGACUGCUGGCAUUUCUCCCAUGAGGAAACUGAGGAAGAGAGGCAGGGUGGUUGCUGGCUUUGGCCGGCUGAGCACCACGUUGGUUCUCCAUGGGGACAUCCACCUCUGUUUGAAGCCCAGAGGACCUCGGGGAGCGAUUUCACCAGUGCAGUAGGGCACACGCUCCUCGUCUUCUUCCUAAGAAAAGCUCCGGUGGCUCUCAAAGGACGCACGCAAGGAGGAAAUCAGCUCUGAAAAACACAGGGAGGGACAGAGAGGGAACAGAGCUGGCAACUGCUCAAAAGUUUUUUUUUUUGGGAUGCCUCACUGCUCUGGGCCACUUCAAACAGCAAGCAAGUGCUACCUGGCUGACUUCACCCAGGGAAAGAGAACUCUAGAGAGGAGAGAUCGAGAAAUUUGGCAAGAGGCACCUGGGACAAGUGGCUCGAGGAAGAGGAAAGAGAAAUUCCUGCAGACCCAGCACUUGACCCGAUAUUUCUGCACUACCUAGUUUCUGUGCUGCUUUUGAACUGUCACAGCUGUCCCUUGGAGCCACGUGCCUACAGGAUGGCUUGCUUGGAGAAGUCACAGACCUGCCCCAACACCUCUGACACUGCCAGAAAGCAAAACAGAGAAACACCAGUUGUUUCUGAGUUUGCUGGUGUCCCUGAGACAUUCCUUAUCAGCACAAUGUGCAGGCUGCUUUCAUCACCUUCUCAGGUCUUCAGGAAAACCUGCUCCAGUUCUGGCAUCCUGCGGCCCACGCCUCAUAAAGAAAACAGAGGCUGGCUGCUUGAGAAAGAGCACUCCAUGUACUCGAAGGAAUACUUGAAGGAAGAAGGGAUGGGCUGAAAGGAGGCACCCUGCUGUCUGGUUUCAGCCUAUGUGCCAUCACUUGGACUGUGGUGCCCAAGGCAAGCAAGCAACUGCCCAGCUCCCAGUAGCCUUGGUAAUUUGGAGGUGCUGCAGGCAAAGAGGAUCCCGUGGACAUUUGGUUUCCUGCAAACAACUGGGCCCAGGGAUGUUUCUUCAGCCCUGGCCCUUGCUCCUCAGAGAGCCUGCUCAGCAGAUGGCAAUCUGGAAAGGGCUCUGCACAGCCUGCGGGGGCAAGAGGGAAGGAGGGGAUGGGAAGGUGGUGUAGGUGUAGGUGAACACCACAUGAGAGCAGAUCUUUGCCUGAAUAAAAGCAUCUGGUCCAUGAUCUGGUCAUGGUGGUUCCCCUUAUCCUUUCUACACCCUGAUCUCAGUGCUCACAGCAGAUGGGGGGAGGAAGCACCCAGAAGAAGCAGAGAGCAGGCAAGGGGGAGGACAGGGAGAUGCCGCGUGGAGACAGUGCUCCUGGCAAGCCCGGGGCUCCCCGAGGUGGGUCCCUGCACGCAGGAAGCCUGGGCUUCCCCUGCCACGAGCACCAGCCUGCCGCCCUGCCCCAGCACCUCGCCUGCUGCCCGGCAGGGGAUCUCCUGCCAAGCCGUUCGUGCAAAAUAUGUUGCAGGAUAGAACGGGUUAUGGAAAACAAGCCCUGAAAACCACAAGGGCCUCCUGACCAAUUGUAUCUGGUUUCUGCCAAGUUCUUGUUACAGAUCUUAAACAGAAAGAAAAACAAUGUACGAGGGAUGAAGGAGCUGAAGGGGAAUAUUCGUGUUGGAAGAGCAGUUGGCUGGGCUACGCUUGGGGAUGUUUGUUUAUUAUCCAAUGCAACUCGCUGAUUUUUAUUUCAGCGGGUGCUUUCAGUGGCUUUCCACUCCUCUGUCUGCGCCCCUGGCUGCACGAAGGCACUGCAGAGAGAGGGGAGAGCAGGACAGGGGGUUCUACAACCUGUCCCUUUCAACAUGCUCCUGUGUGAUUGCUUUGCUUCCCUCUGGUUGCUUUGUCUCUUAAGAAAAUGUGAUCUCUGUAAUCACACUCCACAUGUGUGCAGGGGACAAAGGUUCUCUCCUGCUCAUACAGCCCUGCCUGGUCCUAUUUGUAUCUCUUUAAGCAUCCUAUGUCCUUGAAUUUUUAAGUCCCUUUCUGAACUUAAAGCUACUGCCCACCUUUGCAGCCUCACCUGCCAGCCAGGUUCAGAGUUCAGGGCUCACUA